Molecule: ribosomal RNA, 832 nt
Filed under: Cantharellus subalbidus
Lineage: Eukaryota; Fungi; Basidiomycota; Agaricomycetes; Cantharellales; Hydnaceae
Description: eukaryotic LSU rRNA
Rfam family: Eukaryotic large subunit ribosomal RNA
Source: RNAcentral
GAGUGAAGAGGGAAGAGCUCAUCAUUGGAAUCUGGCAGUGUUGCACUGGUCCGAGUUGUAGAUGAGGAGUAGUCCGUCUGGACUGCAUGGCGUCCAAGUACAAUAGGCCGUCAGUGGGACAUCAUAGAGGGUGACAAUCCCGUCCUUGACGCCAAUGUGCAAGUCUAUUACGAUGGCUAUCUCAGAGAGUCGAGCAGUUUGGGAUUUGCUGCUUAAACAUGGGAGGUAGAUUCCUUCUAAAGCUAAAUACAGGCGAGAGACCGAUAGAGAACAAGUACCGCAAGGGAAAGAUGAAAUAGCACUCUGUGAAGGGAGUCAAAAGGCGUGAAAUUGUUGCGAGAGAAGCGAUUCAAGUCAGCGUAGCUAGGCCCAUCAAGCGUCUUCGCUUUGGACUAGCUUUGCCAGCGGUCUUGUCCCUUCAAGAGACUUGACUUGUAAUAUGUCCAGCCUGGCGUGCACAGGCAGGCCCCUUCUGGGGGCCAGUGGCAUGGCUGGUGGAAUGGCUUGCAAUCGACCCGUCUUGAAACACGGACCAAGGAGUCUAACAUGUAUGCGAGUAUAAGGGUGGCAAACCCGUAUGCGCAAUGAAAGUGAUUUUCGGUGAUUGAGAAUGGCCUGAUGACCAGACAAGCAAUAUAUGUCCCUCGUACGGCCAUUGCCCAAGUUCCGUGGUAGAUCCCACGAACAUGGAGUUGGAGCAUACAUGCUAGGACCCGAAAGAUGGUGAACUAUGCCUGGACAAAGCGAAGCCAAAGGAAACUCUGGUGGAGGCUUGUAGCGAUUCUGACGUGCAAAUCGAUCGUCUGAUUCUGGGUAUAGGGGCGAAAGACUA